GGAAAGAUGGCCGAGUGGUUUAAAGGCGUAGCAUUGGAAUUGCUAUGUAGGCUUGUGUUUACCGAGGGUUCGAAUCCCUCUCUUUCCG
This 88-nucleotide transfer RNA is filed under the name Cuscuta pedicellata. Its description in RNAcentral is "tRNA-Ser". It matches the Rfam family "tRNA". Rfam says of the family: Transfer RNA (tRNA) molecules are approximately 80 nucleotides in length. Their secondary structure includes four short double-helical elements and three loops (D, anti-codon, and T loops). Further hydrogen bonds mediate the characteristic L-shaped molecular structure. tRNAs have two regions of fundamental functional importance: the anti-codon, which is responsible for specific mRNA codon recognition, and the 3' end, to which the tRNAs corresponding amino acid is attached (by aminoacyl-tRNA synthetases). tRNAs cope with the degeneracy of the genetic code in two manners: having more than one tRNA (with a specific anti-codon) for a particular amino acid; and 'wobble' base-pairing, i.e. permitting non-standard base-pairing at the 3rd anti-codon position. The record is from RNAcentral. Lineage: Eukaryota; Viridiplantae; Streptophyta; Magnoliopsida; Solanales; Convolvulaceae.